CCAGACUCCUACGGGAGGCAGCAGUGAGGAAUAUUGGUCAAUGGGCGCGAGCCUGAACCAGCCAAGUCGCGUGAGGGAUGACGGCCCUACGGGUUGUAAACCUCUUUUGUCGGGGAGCAAAUUCCGUUACGUGUAACGGAGUCGAGAGUACCCGAAGAAAAAGCAUCGGCUAACUCCGUGCCAGCAGCCGCGGUAAUACGGAGGAUGCGAGCGUUAUCCGGAUUUAUUGGGUUUAAAGGGUGCGUAGGCGGGCUUUUAAGUCAGCGGUAAAAUUUCGGGGCUCAACCCCGACAAGCCGUUGAAACUGGCUUGCUAGAGUGGGCGAGAAGUAUGCGGAAUGCGUGGUGUAGCGGUGAAAUGCAUAGAUAUCACGCAGAACUCCGAUUGCGAAGGCAGCAUACCGGCGCCCAACUGACGCUCAGGCACGAAAGCGUGGGUAUCGAACAGGAUUAGAUACCCUGGUA
Molecule: ribosomal RNA, 464 nt
Filed under: uncultured bacterium
Lineage: Bacteria
Description: bacterial SSU rRNA
Rfam family: Bacterial small subunit ribosomal RNA
Source: RNAcentral